GGAGGGACGUGUUUUUUGGUGGUCUGGGCCUAGCGAGCAGCUGCCGGCGCCUCUACUAUGUCGCGGGCACGUAGCCACCUGCUCGCGGCUCGCUUCCUGGCAGCGGUUCCUUCGCGUGGUGCAACAACCGGGGUCGCAGCGAGGCGAGGGUUGAGCGCGUGGCCCGCGCCACAGGAGCCCGGCAUGGAGUAUCAGGAGGCUGUGCGCACACUCAACACCCUGCAGACCAAUGCCAACUACCUGGAGCAGGUGAAGCGCCAGCGGGGUGACCCCCAGACACAGCUGGAAGCCAUGAAGCUGUACUUGGCACGGAGUGGGCUGCAGGUGGAGGACCUGGACCAACUGAACAUUAUUCACAUCACCGGGACCAAGGGGAAGGGCUCCACCUGUGCCUUUGCUGAACGCAUCCUCCGAAGCUACGGCCUGAAGACAGGAUUCUUUAGCUCUCCCCACCUGGUGCAGGUGCGUGAGCGGAUCCGCAUCAACGGACAGCCCAUAAGCCCUGAGCUCUUCACCAAGUACUUCUGGCGCCUCUACCACCGGCUGGACGAGACCAAGGAUGACAGCAGCUGUGUCUCCAUGCCCAGCUACUUCCGUUUCCUCACGCUCAUGGCUUUCCACGUCUUCCUUCAAGAGAAGGUAGACCUGGCAGUGAUGGAAGUGGGCAUCGGCGGGGCUUACGACUGCACCAACAUCAUCAGGAAGCCGGUCGUGUGCGGGGUCUCCUCUCUUGGCAUCGACCACACUGGCCUUCUGGGGGACACGAUGGAGAAGAUUGCGUGGCAGAAAGGGGGUAUCUUUAAGUGUGGCGUUCCUGCCUUCACCGUGCCCCAGCCUGAUGCCCCCCUGGCCGUGCUGAGGGACCGUGCUCAGGAGAUCUCAUGUCCCCUCUACCUGUGCCCACCACUAGAAGCCUUGGAGGAAGGGGGGCCACCGCUGACCCUGGGCCUGGAGGGAGAGCACCAGCGGUCCAAUGCCGCCUUGGCCUUGCAGCUGACCCACUGCUGGCUGCAGCAGAAGGGCCACCAGGAUAUUGGGGAACUGAAGACAUCCAGGCCAAGCCUCCUGGGACAGUUGCCCCUGGCACCUGUGUUCCAGCCCACGUCCCGCAUGCGCCAUGGGCUUCGGGACACGGAGUGGCUGGGCCGGACACAGGUACUGCGGCGUGGGCCCCUUACCUGGUACCUGGACGGUGCGCACACCACCAGCAGCAUGCAGGCCUGUGUGCGCUGGUUCCGCCAGGCCCUGCACCGCCGCGAGAGGCCAAGCAGCGGGUCGGAGGUUCGAGUCUUGCUCUUCAACUCCACCGGGGACCGGGAUUCCGCGGCCCUGCUGAAGCUGCUACAGCCCUGCCAGUUUGACUAUGCCGUUUUCUGCCCUAACCUGACAGAGAUGUCAUCCGCGGAUAAUGCAGAUGAAGGUAGUGCGUCUAGGGCAGAAGGAUGUGCUCAGUGAGCAGAAGUCCCCGCUUUGAAGCGAAACCACCCGGCCCUGCCUCUCACGUGCUCUGUGACUACGGGCCAGUCACUGAACUUUGAGUCUCACUUUCCUCCUAGCACCCACUGCAAGGACCAGUAAUAGACCAGCAGAACUUCACAGUGACACUGGACCAAGUGCUCCUCCGCUGCCUCGCACAUCAGCAGCACUGGAGCCACCUGCAGGAGGAGCAGGCCAGCCCAGGCCUCUGGAGCACCCCCAGCUCAGAGCCUGGUGGGCCCACAUCCCUGCUGCUGGCGCCCCACCCACCCCACACCCACAGCACCAGCUCCCUCGUCUUCAGUUGCAUCACCCACGCCCUGCAGUGGAUCAGCCAAGGCCGGGACCCCGUCUGGCAGCCGCCCAGUCCCCCACGGAGCCUCCUCGCCCACCCCGUGGCAGGCAGCGGGGCCAUCGUACUCCACGAGGCUGCUGCCAUCCACGUGCUGGUCACAGGCAGCCUGCACCUGGUCGGCGGCGUCCUGAAGCUGCUGGAGCCCUCCCUGUCCCAGUAGCCGAGGCAGUGGGGCUGGAAGUGGGGUCCUCCCACACCUGCCCUGCGUCCCUCCAUGAACUGCUAAAUGACAUGCCUCUUGUGCCUUCCUGAUUGUGUCUAGACUGGCCCAGGGACUUGAGCUCUGGGAAGUGAAGUAGACAGCUGGGGGCAGGAAGCGGAGAUCAGACGCCCUCUGACUCCAAGCCUAGGAUGCCCUCGGCUUCUCCUUCCCGGGUCCCCCGCUGACCCUCCAGCCCAUCCCGCUCCCACCCUGUUUGUUUCCUGCCUCAGGCCCAGCUUAGGGCGUGAGCUGCUUGGCCAGACCUGGGGGCCCACGGGGCCUCCUGGCUGCUAAUUUUUAGCUUGCUUCCUCCUUCUGCGAAAGGAGAAGGUCCCUACCUGGGCGGCCCCGGGUGGCUGGAGAGAAUUAAAGCCUUUUUUUUUUUUUUUUUUU
RNA transcript from Sus scrofa (pig), 2426 nucleotides. It is a transcript of the gene named folylpolyglutamate synthase, with no coding region annotated. NCBI's taxonomy places the organism in Eukaryota, Metazoa, Chordata, Mammalia, Artiodactyla, Suidae. The record is from RefSeq and is a predicted model, not a curated record.